Molecule: small nucleolar RNA, 130 nt
Organism: Mustela putorius furo (domestic ferret)
Lineage: Eukaryota; Metazoa; Chordata; Mammalia; Carnivora; Mustelidae
Source: Ensembl
UGGACAUUUAUUUUUAUACAGUUUCUUCUUAAGGUGAAGAUAACUCUUUAUAAAUGUCCUAGAGGAAUACAGUAGCUUUCUGUUCACCCUUUGCAAGUGAAAAGGGUGGAUCGUUCCACUACUGACAUUU